GCAGGUAUGGCGGAAUAGGCAGACGCGCUAGCUUCAGGUGCUAGUGGGGGCAACCUCGUGGAAGUUCAAGUCUUCUUACCUGCAUCA
This 87-nucleotide transfer RNA is filed under the name Hominimerdicola alba 7 = DSM 20455. Its description in RNAcentral is "Ruminococcus albus 7 = DSM 20455 tRNA-Leu". It matches the Rfam family "tRNA". Rfam says of the family: Transfer RNA (tRNA) molecules are approximately 80 nucleotides in length. Lineage: Bacteria; Bacillati; Bacillota; Clostridia; Eubacteriales; Oscillospiraceae. The record is from RNAcentral.